GGGUCUUCCUGUACCUGAUUCACUCACUCAGCCUCUAUGUCCUCUCACCAAUGAGAGAGACAAGGAUCGAACAAUGGAGUUAGUUCAACAGGUUGGAGAAAAAUCUUCAGUACUUGACUUGGAGGAUAAUAAAUUUCCCCAGCCAUUUGAUACACCAAAGAGCAAGGCUGACUCAACCUUAAGGCUGGGUCGGAUAUCAAAGCAUAGAAUGAGCAGUCAUCUGGAUCUUUCUGUUAAUUCUCUUGGUCAC
RNAcentral lists this unclassified non-coding RNA (250 nucleotides) under Hevea brasiliensis (rubber tree). The record is from RNAcentral. Lineage: Eukaryota; Viridiplantae; Streptophyta; Magnoliopsida; Malpighiales; Euphorbiaceae.